Transfer RNA from Tetranychus urticae (two-spotted spider mite), 73 nucleotides. It matches the Rfam family "tRNA". From Rfam's summary of the family: Transfer RNA (tRNA) molecules are approximately 80 nucleotides in length. Their secondary structure includes four short double-helical elements and three loops (D, anti-codon, and T loops). Lineage: Eukaryota; Metazoa; Arthropoda; Arachnida; Trombidiformes; Tetranychidae. The record is from Rfam.
GUUUCUGUGGUGUAGUGGUUAUCACGUUUGCUUUACACGCAAAAGGUCCCCGGUUCGAGCCCGGGCAGAAACA